Molecule: ribosomal RNA, 301 nt
Filed under: uncultured bacterium
Lineage: Bacteria
Description: partial 16S ribosomal RNA
Rfam family: Bacterial small subunit ribosomal RNA
Source: RNAcentral
CAGUCGCCGCGGGAAUACAGAGGGUGCGAGCGUUAAUCGGAUUUACUGGGCGUAAAGCGUGCGUAGGAGGCUUCUUAAGUCGGAUGUGAAAUCCCUGAGCUUAACUUAGGAAUUGCAUUCGAUACUGGGAAGCUAGAGUAUGGGAGAGGAUGGUAGAAUUCCAGGUGUAGCGGUGAAAUGCGUAGAGAUCUGGAGGAAUACCGAUGGCGAAGGCAGCCAUCUGGCCUAAUACUGACGCUGAGGUACGAAAGCAUGGGGAGCAAACAGGAUUAGAUACCCCUGUAGUCCCUGUCUCUUAUAC